GGAAAGCAGCUCAAAUGCGAUAGUCUAGCAGCUACGAGAUCAGGAAGAACACAGUGCUCGCAUCUGAAAAAUAACCAGGAGCAAGGAUGAUGUUUUCACUGUGUUACGCAGCCUUGAUCAUGCACAUUGUGUCUCGCCAAGCCAUAGCCAACCGCGCUUUUCUUCGCACGCCGCCUCAUAAACAUCGGUCACCACUUGAAAGAAGACCGCUUCUGGGCGGCAACGACAGCGUUGAAGAAAAUGAAACGUCCAAUAAGUUUGUCGACGACAGAAGGCCUUCCAAUCGUACAAGGAUAUGCAAGAUGUGGUACUGUUGCUUCAAUCGCAGGGACGGAGAAGUAUGCGAGUAUCAAAAGCUGCACGAACGAGACUGCAAUAGUAGUGGCAACCAUAAAAUCUUAAAACGAUGCCGCUGUCUUUUGAAAAAAGUGAUCUGUUCCAUUCGCAGCAAGAAAUCUAUGAAGCUUCGUAAACCUAUACUUACUACAGCAUAACUAGCCGACUAACUCUUUCUUUCACGGAACGUAAAAACCCAACAAUGAUUAUAUUAUUAACUUGUUCUCUCAACGACAGAGAAUUGUUUCUUUCAACGUGGCAGUUUUCAUUCUGCUUUGGGAAUGCCUUAUAUGAUUGCUUCUACAUUUCCGGUGGAACACCGUAAACCAUGUGAGAUGCUUAUCAUCGAUCAACCACUGGGGAAUGCCUCCUCAACUACAAAAGACAAUUCAAACGGCAGAGUGAUCGUAUUUAUUGUUUCUCUUAUUGAGGCAAUAUCCUCACAUAUCCCACGCCAUGAUGACCUCGACCGAGUAGCCGGCAUGUUGUACAAAGCCACAUGAAAACCCACGCGCCGCCUGGCUUGAGGCGUGCGAGCUGCGCGUUUCUUUGUCUUUGCGGCGUUCGUAUUAUUAAAGAAAAUAAAUUUUUAAAACUGGUGU
Molecule: long non-coding RNA, 938 nt
Organism: Rhipicephalus sanguineus (brown dog tick)
Lineage: Eukaryota; Metazoa; Arthropoda; Arachnida; Ixodida; Ixodidae
Exons: 3
Source: RefSeq, a predicted model, not a curated record